Molecule: ribosomal RNA, 430 nt
Filed under: uncultured bacterium
Lineage: Bacteria
Description: partial 16S ribosomal RNA
Rfam family: Bacterial small subunit ribosomal RNA
Source: RNAcentral
AACGAACGCUGGCGGCAGGCCUAACACAUGCAAGUCGAGCGCGCCUUCGGGUGAGCGGCGGACGGGUGAGUAACGCGUGGGAAUAUGCCCUUCUCUACGGAAUAGUCCUGGGAAACUGGGGGUAAUACCGUAUACGCCCUUUGGGGGAAAGAUUUAUCGGGGAAGGAUUAGCCCGCGUUGGAUUAGGUAGUUGGUGGGGUAAUGGCCUACCAAGCCGACGAUCCAUAGCUGGUUUGAGAGGAUGAUCAGCCACACUGGGACUGAGACACGGCCCAGACUCCUACGGGAGGCAGCAGUGGGGAAUCUUAGACAAUGGGGGCAACCCUGAUCUAGCCAUGCCGCGUGAGUGAUGAAGGCCUUAGGGUUGUAAAGCUCUUUCAGCUGGGAAGAUAAUGACGGUACCAGCAGAAGAAGCCCCGGCUAACUCCGU